RNAcentral lists this ribosomal RNA (404 nucleotides) under uncultured bacterium. Its description in RNAcentral is "bacterial SSU rRNA". It matches the Rfam family "Bacterial small subunit ribosomal RNA", at positions 355 to 776 of the family's 1533-position model. The record is from RNAcentral.
UGGGGAAUAUUGGACAAUGGGCGAAAGCCUGAUCCAGCAAUGCCGCGUGAGUGAUGAAGGCCUUAGGGUUGUAAAGCUCUUUUACCCGGGAUGAUAAUGACAGUACCGGGAGAAUAAGCCCCGGCUAACUCCGUGCCAGCAGCCGCGGUAAUACGGAGGGGGCUAGCGUUGUUCGGAAUUACUGGGCGUAAAGCGUACGUAGGCGGCUUUGUAAGUUAGAGGUGAAAGCCCGGGGCUCAACUCCGGAAUUGCCUUUAAGACUGCAUCGCUUGAAUCAUGGAGAGGUUAGUGGAAUUCCGAGUGUAGAGGUGAAAUUCGUAGAUAUUCGGAAGAACACCAGUGGCGAAGGCGACUAACUGGACAUGUAUUGACGCUGAGGUACGAAAGCGUGGGGAGCAAACAGG